UGUUUGCCAAACACCAUUAAACCUCAGAGGAAGAUUAGUUUCACCGCGCUUUCUGUUUUGUUGUGAUGCUGGUUUAAUACAAGCUGUUAGAAAUGUAGUUUAUUUAAAUAGAAAAGUACAGUUUCUGAAUCAGGUCAAUGAGAAUCUCUGUAAUAUUCUCAUCCUCACAAUCGUGACUAAGUGUUGAAGCAAGCAGGAAUAUCUGGAGGAGUAUCAUCUGAGAUCUGCUGCUGUGAAGAUGGUGUUUGUUAAAGAGGAGAGUGAGGAGAACAUGAUUGAACCAGAAACCUGGAGAAUAAAACACGAGGAACCAGAAACAUGGGGAGUAAAACACGAGGAACCAGAAACAUGGAGAAUAAAACACGAGGAACCAGAAACCUGGAGAAUAAAACACGAGGAACCAGAAACCUGGAGAAAAAAACACGAGGAACCAGAAACCUGGAGAAUAAAACACGAGGAACCAGAAACCUGGAGAAAAAAACACGAGGAACCAGAAACCUGGAGAAUAAAACACGAGGAACCAGAAACCUGUGGAAUAAAACACGAGGAACCAGAAACCUGUGGAAUAAAACACGAGGAACCAGAAACCUGUGGAAUAAAACACGAGGAACCAGAAACCUGGAGAAUAAAACACGAGGAACCAGAAACCUGUGGAAUAAAACACGAGGAACCAGAAACCUGUGGAAUAAAACACGAGGAACCAGAAACCUGUGGAAUAAAACACGAGGAACCAGAAACCUGUGGAAUAAAACACGAGGAACCAGAAACCUGUGGAAUAAAACACGAGGAACAUGGAGAGAUGAUUGAAGAAAACGAGGAGAAUGAAGAAUUGAGUGAAGUUGGGGAGAAAAAUCAAGUCAAAACUGAAGAAAAACCCUCGAGUUGCUCUCAAACCAAACAGAAAGGCUUAAAGAAAAGAAAAGUCAAGAAAUCUUUCACCUGCACUCAGUGUGGAAUGAGUUUGACAAGCAAAUAUAAUUUUGACGUUCACAUGAGAGUUCACACUGGAGAGAAACCAUUCACUUGUGAUCAGUGCGGGAAGAGUUUCACACAAUCAUCAAACCUUAAGGACCACAUGAACAUCCACACUGGAGAAAAACCAAACAAGUGUUUACACUGUGACAAGAGAUUCAGUCGUCCAAGAGACCUGAAAACACAUGAGAGGAUCCACACUGGAGAGAAACCGUACACAUGUGAUCAGUGCGGGAAGAGUUUCACACGAUCAUCACACUUCAAAGAGCACAUGAACAUCCACACUAGAGAGAAACUGUUUGGAUGUGAUCAGUGCGGGAAGAGUUUCACACUAAAAGGACACCUUACGGCACAUAUGAGAGUUCAUUCUGAAGAGAAACCGUUCACAUGUAAUCAAUGUGGGAAGAGUUUCACACAAUCAUCACAUCUUAACAGACACAUGAUGAUCCACACUAGAGAGAAACUGUACACAUGUGAUCAAUGCGGCAAAAUGUUUUUGAGGGCUUCAGUCCUAAAGCAGCACAUGAAUGUUCAUACAAAGGAGAAGCCACAUUCAUGUGAUUUGUGUGGAAAGAGUUUUUUAUGUCUACAAAGUUUGAAAGAACAUCAGAAAAUGCAUACUUCUGUGAGAGAGUACAUGUGCUUUGAGUGUGAGAAGACUUUUACUUCAGCGAGCAGUUUAAAACUGCACGAGAGGAUCCACACUGGAGAGAAACCUUACAAGUGUUCACACUGUGACAAGAGAUUCAGUGAUUCAGCAAAUCGGAAAAGACACGAGAGGAUCCACACUGGAGAGAAACCAUAUGACUGCACUACAUGUGGGAAGUGUUUCAAUAAUUCAUCUGCUCUACGCAGACAUACAAAAAACUAUCACAAUAAGUAGAUCAUCUUCAGGUCCAGCACUUUCAGAGCUGAUGCUGGGUCCUCACGAAAUGUGACACAAUAAUGCAUCAAGCAAUAAAAUAUCAUCUGGAUAAAUCUGUUCUGACCAGUCAUUACAUGCGACAUGACAAAGAAACAUCAUCUAAAGUUUUCAGAGAGACUAAAGUUCAUCUUCAUCUUCAAAACCAGCAGAUUCAGCUGUGAGAUUCAGAUCAACUCAAAGAUGGAGUUUCUCAACAAACACCUGAACCUGGUAUUAAAUGAGCUCUGGGGCUAAAUUACGAAAGGCUAUCGAUAAGCUCUAAUGUUAACUGUUCUGCUUUUGGUGCUGGGUGAAUAUAGCAAAUACACUUACACUUUAUUAUUGCUACAAAAAUAUUAUUAAACCGACUGUUUCUAUAUGUGAUAAUAUCAAGACAUUCGUCACUGAUGCAUUUUCGUUAUUUUGCAAUCCAGAAGCGAGAUCUCUCUUGUACUUUAGGUCUGAUUAAUCUAAUUUUAUUUUUUAUUAAGUUUGACUUUCAAGGAUUAUGAAAACAAGAUGUUUGAGGUAAAGUGAUAUAUUACAGAAAAUCUGAUUCGUCUUGAGGACUUUAUGGCUGCUGUGUGCGACGCGUGUGUCCAUGUGACCGUUUACACCACUUACCUAUAACAGAACUGGAUUGCUGAUGAUGUUAUAGAAGUGAAGCCACUUUGCCGCCAUAUUGCUAUUCCGUAGUAUUCUCAUAUAUUCUAUUGAAUUUAGAGUAAAUCGUACGAUUUUUAUGAGAAAACCACCUAAUGAGUCAGCUUUUUUAUAUCUGAAGUAUCCCUGUAUGUUCUUACAACACAAACGUGCUUCGUGUAAAAGGUUUUAAGAUUUGUUUCAUGUUGAGAAUUUCCCCUGCCUAUCAAAAAAAAAGAAAAAGUAUCAUAAAAUUUUGUAAUUUUUAAAUUCCUUGUUAUAUCAUUGAUUAUUUUUUGAUUAUUUUAAUUCCUUUUGUAUGUAAAGCACGUUGAAUUACCAUUGUGUAUGAAAUGUGCUAUAUAAAUAAACUUUGCCUUACAUUAAUAAUUAAUUCAACAUAAUAUGCAUAACAUUUAACUCCUAUGGAAACUGUAAUGCUAAUAAAAUGCCAUAGAAUCAGAACAUAUAGAAAUACACACAUCGUAACAUCAUUAAGAGAAAUAACGCUGACUCCAUACGGUGCAGACUUCAAGACGAGAAGCUUUAUUUCCAAGAUGAUGCAUGGUAAGCUUUGAAUUUAAAUACAAUAUAGAGCAACAUAGUAACAGAUGCUUGUAUUGUAAAAUUAGUUGUAUAUUCUAUAGAGAGACUUAGAAGGACUGUAUUUAAGUUGUAUUGCUGGGUCUUAUUUUGUGUGGUGAUCACUCCCAGGUGUCGGUCAGGACACAGGAACCAGACCAAUUGCUGAAUUGAGGGUAUUUAAUGAACAGUUGAAGUAGGCAUAAAACAAUCUUUCAGUUGGCUUUAUAAUAUAUGUGUGUGUGUGGUUCUGAAAUUUAACAAAUAUAAGUAACAGCAUUAUGAAAUUAUGUGAUUGUUCAUUUAUCUGUGCGGCCUUUUUUACAGCGCUUGUCUAUAAUUUAAAAUAAUAGCUUACAUUUACAAAUAGCAGAAAUAAGCCUUUUUAAUGAAAGUAAAGUGAAAAUGCACAAUAGCACACAGAGUUUGCUGUUUUUAUCAGUUGACAUAACAUUUGGCCUUGAAAAGACCGUAUACAUAAAUGAUAAACUGAAGCAGGAGGCCUUGUGAUAACCUGUCCAUUUGUUUAUCCAAUCAAUUCUUUGAGUCUUUGAUCUAAAAUCAGUGAAUAUGCAUAACGAGUAUGAGUUUUUUUUAAAGUUUUUUUUUCUUACAUUUUAUUAAAUGUCAAAAUUUAAAUAUAUUUGCAAACACGUUUAUUUAAUAUUAAAUGUGAUCUAUUCAGUGAUCAACUGGAAUUUCACAACCAAACAUGUCUGUUGCAGCAACAAUAGCACAGUUAGCUGAGGUUAAACACAUUUUAUUCACGGCUGUAAAACAUUUUCUGUGGAGUUUUCCAUGAAAAUCUCUCAGGCUGCAUCCGAAACCGCCUACUUCUCUACUAUACAGUAGGGGGAAAGCAUAGGCAAGCAAAGAAGUAUGUCCGAAACCUCAGUAUUCAUAAAAGAGUAGUCGAGAAGUUCCCGGAUGUCCUACUGCUUUAGCCCAGAUUCUUGAGUGCUCAUCGAUGGAUACUUUUCAAUCCCAGAAGCCCACGGGAGAUCAAUACGUCAUCAUCGAAUGUGAUGAAGAACAGCGACGAGGCUGUUUACAAAUGUGAGUAUUACAAACCAAAAGCACGGUUUCCUGUGUUAAAAUCACAUUUGUUGAGCUACUGUAGAGUAAACUGUUGAUUUGCUUAAGGUGUAAAGACCCUAGACAGUAAUGUUACAGUAUAUUUGUGAUUUUGCUGUAAAAACAUGUCUCAUGUAUAGCGAACAGCAGAGCUCCAGUAAACACACACACGUCUCCAGAGUGCUUUACAUAAACCAUAUACAUCUUAAAGACGAUUACUAAAUGUCUAUUUAAUAUGAGACAGGAAAAUGUACUAAAAGAAUUACAGAUGAGCGCAUCACAACAUGAACACACAUCUGAGAGUGAUGUAUGUGUUAUUAUGUAGAAUACACUGAUGUCAACACUGCUUUAGAUGAAUGUAAUGUAAAUAUACAAGUCUACGUGGAGUAACUAAACAUAACUUAUCUGUUUUAUUUGUCCAUUAGUAUUGUAGAUAAACUGAGGAACAUUUGUGUUGAAUAAAAGUGAGUUAACGCAUCAGUAACUGCCUCAACAUGUAGAUGCAGUAUUGAUCAGAUAAAUCACAGAGCUGACUCUCGUCUGAUGUUACAGAAACACACGAGUGUUUAUCCGCUGAAGACUGACUGACGGAGGAAUGCUGCCAUCAAAGCCUCUCAGGACCCCAAUCCCCCCGCAGCAGCUCGGAGUAAAGACACCGGUGGUGACGACUGCGGAGAUCAAACCAGCAACCUUCUGCUGACCAGUUCAUUACACCGCAAAAGUAGUUGUUCUCAUAGAGAGCAGGCACACAGAUGUUUGGAGCAGACACAGCAGCAGCCAGAUUGUCCUGCACGCGUUCUUCUGCUCUUGUUCAAGAUUGUACUCUCAGACAAUGAUAGCCUCGAUGUCUCUUUCUCAUCCAUGAUCAGAUUCAGUCUGACUGCAGCAGUGAGGGAGGUGAUGGACAGCAGAGACAGGUGAAGGUGGACGCGGUGGUCAGCUGCUUCAUCAGAAUAAAGCUGCAGAACUGGACCAGCUGUGUUGAGAUGGCAGUAGGAUGUGGCCUCACCGUCUGUAAAUACAUGAUUGUUAGAACAAUAUGUUUGAAUAAAACUUUGUUUCAUGUGUUGUUGACUUGUGUUUAUUUAUUGUCAUGGUUACUUUUAUUUACAUUUUACUCAUUUGUUCAUGUUUCCUGUUGUUGUCAGUAAAUAAAAUAUAAUUGUUUCAUUAACACAUGCAUUAAUUCAUUACUUGUCUGAAAAUUGAGAUGUAUUCACUUUGGCUGGAUUUGUCUAGUGUGUGUAGUCAUGCAUAGCUAUGGCAUAUGAAAAAGCAAAUUACAUUUUGCUUGUUUUCCUGAAAAAAUAUAAUUAUUGGUCAUAAGUGUUGGGCUACCACUGCUUUCUGAGGUAAUAUUAAUUUCUAAGUAGUAAUACUCACAUUUUUCGAGUGUAAAAUCAACAGUCUUCUCCAGAGAUGAGAUCUUUUGAGCUGAUCGACGUCUCGUUUGUGCAGAUAUUACAAACAUGGAGGAAAACGUACUAGGUAGGGUUGUGGAUUUAUAGAUGC
RNA transcript from Onychostoma macrolepis, 5686 nucleotides. It is a transcript of the gene named gastrula zinc finger protein XlCGF57.1-like, with no coding region annotated. The record is from RefSeq and is a predicted model, not a curated record. The transcript is spliced from 4 exons. NCBI's taxonomy places the organism in Eukaryota, Metazoa, Chordata, Actinopteri, Cypriniformes, Cyprinidae.